UACAGAGGGUGCAAGCGUUGUUCGGAAUUAUUGGGCGUAAAGCGCGUGUAGGCGGCUUUGCAAGUCGGGUGUGAAAGCCCUCAGCUUAACUGAGGAAGUGCGCCCGAAACUGCAGAGCUUGAAUACCGGAGAGGAUGGCGGAAUUCCCCAAGUAGAGGUGAAAUUCGUAGAUAUGGGGAGGAACACCAGUGGCGAAGGCGGCGAUCUGGACGGAUAUUGACGCUGAUGUACGAAAGCGUGGGGAGCAAACAGG
This 253-nucleotide ribosomal RNA is filed under the name uncultured bacterium. RNAcentral's name for it is "partial 16S ribosomal RNA". It matches the Rfam family "Bacterial small subunit ribosomal RNA", at positions 524 to 776 of the family's 1533-position model. The record is from RNAcentral.